This 673-nucleotide ribosomal RNA is filed under the name archaeon enrichment culture clone A21D37. Its description in RNAcentral is "bacterial SSU rRNA". It matches the Rfam family "Archaeal small subunit ribosomal RNA", at positions 21 to 700 of the family's 1478-position model. The record is from RNAcentral.
GGUUACUGCUAUCGAGGUUCGACUAAGCCAUGCGAGUCGAAUGUAGCAAUACAUGGCGAACUGCUCAGUAACACGUGGACAACCUGCCCUUAGGUUGGGUAUAAACCCGGGAAACUGGGUAUAAUACCCGAUAGGUCUCGAUUGCUGGAAUGCAUCGAGAUUUAAAGCUCCGGCGCCUAAGGAUGGGUCUGCGGCCUAUCAGGUAGUAGUGGGUGUAGCGUACCUACUAGCCUACGACGGGUACGGGUUGUGAGAGCAAGAGCCCGGAGAUGGAUUCUGAGACACGAAUCCAGGCCCUACGGGGUGCAGCAGGCGCGAAAACUUUACAAUGCUGGCAACAGCGAUAAGGGAACCUCGAGUGCCAGGUUACAAAUCUGGCUGUCGAGAUGCCUAAAAAGCAUUUCAUAGCAAGGGCCGGGCAAGACCGGUGCCAGCCGCCGCGGUAACACCGGCGGCUCGAGUGGUAACCGUUAUUAUUGGGUCUAAAGGGUCUGUAGCCGGCCGGAUAAGUCUCUUGAGAAAUCUGGCAGCUUAACUGUCAGGCUUUCAGGAGAUACUGUCUGGCUCGAGGCCGGGAGAGGUGAGAGGUACUUCAGGGGUAGGGGUGAAAUCUUGUAAUCCUUGAAGGACCACCAGUGGCGAAAGCGUCUCACCAGAACGGACCUGACGGCAA